GUUCGAAUCUGUAUCCUGCCAGAAAUGAUGCUGCUGGAGAAAAAUUGAUUCCAUAGAUUUUAAAGAAACUUUCUCUCUCGCAUGGGAAUCAGACGUCAUUCAAAAGCAACUUGAAAGAAGAUUAGAUUUGGUGGUACCCAGCUCAAUAGAAGGCCAGAGACAUCACAUGACAAGGGAUAGCAC
Molecule: non-coding RNA, 183 nt
Organism: Chiloscyllium plagiosum (whitespotted bambooshark)
Lineage: Eukaryota; Metazoa; Chordata; Chondrichthyes; Orectolobiformes; Hemiscylliidae
Source: RefSeq, a predicted model, not a curated record